Molecule: ribosomal RNA, 257 nt
Filed under: uncultured Anaerococcus sp.
Lineage: Bacteria; Bacillati; Bacillota; Tissierellia; Tissierellales; Peptoniphilaceae
Description: partial 16S ribosomal RNA
Rfam family: Bacterial small subunit ribosomal RNA
Source: RNAcentral
CGGACGGGUGAGUAACGCGUGAGUAACCUGCCUUACACAAGGGGAUAGCCGUUGGAAACGACGAAUAAUACCCUAUGACAUAAACUCCUCGCAUGAGGAGCUUAUCAAAGAUUUAUCGGUGUAAGAUGGACUCGCGUCUGAUUAGCUAGUUGGUGAGGUAACGGCCCACAAAGGCGACGAUCAGUAGCCGGCUUGAGAGAGUGUACGGCCACAUUGGGACUGAGACACGGCCCAGACUCCUACGGGAGGCAGCAGCC